RNAcentral lists this ribosomal RNA (470 nucleotides) under uncultured bacterium. RNAcentral describes it as "bacterial SSU rRNA". It matches the Rfam family "Bacterial small subunit ribosomal RNA", at positions 335 to 796 of the family's 1533-position model. The record is from RNAcentral.
ACUCCUACGGGAGGCAGCAGUGGGGAAUAUUGCGCAAUGGGCGAAAGCCUGACGCAGCAACGCCGCGUGAGGGAAGAAGGCCUUCGGGUCGUAAACCUCUGUCAGGAGGGAAGAAGUGCAUGGAUUCGAAUAGGGUCUGUGUUUGACGGUACCUCCAAAGGAAGCACCGGCUAACUCCGUGCCAGCAGCCGCGGUAAUACGGAGGGUGCAAGCGUUAUUCGGAAUUACUGGGCGUAAAGGGCGUGUAGGCGGCCUUUUAAGUCAGGUGUGAAAGCCCACGGCUUAACCGUGGAACUGCACUUGAAACUGGAAGGCUUGAGUACGGGAGAGGGCGGCGGAAUUCCCGGUGUAGGAGUGAAAUCCGUAGAUAUCGGGAGGAACACCAGUGGCGAAGGCGGCCGCCUGGACCGUAACUGACGCUGAGACGCGAAAGCGUGGGGAGCAAACAGGAUUAGAAACCCCAGUAGUCC